Molecule: long non-coding RNA, 358 nt
Filed under: Macaca nemestrina (pig-tailed macaque)
Lineage: Eukaryota; Metazoa; Chordata; Mammalia; Primates; Cercopithecidae
Description: lncRNA (ENSMNEG00000045921.1)
Source: RNAcentral
UGCAAACCCCAUUUCAGCACUGCAAACUUCUUAGCAGAAUCCACGCUAACUUCUGAAAAUUCCCUCCUGCCUGUACCUCAUCCCUCAAGUUCACAGCCACCCCUCCAAGGACUUCAUUCCAAUUCCAGGUUUGUACUGAGGCUGUGGAGCAGACACAAACAGCUUGUGCAAUCCCUGCAGUCCUGGAUGAAAACAAACACGCGGCAAAUACAACCUCCAUCCACACAGCCAGGUGUAUGCAAAUGCUUCCUUACCAUUGUUCAAUUCAAGGAACUGAAGAGUCUUUCUCCUGGCUGAUAUCAGAGAGGACACCUUGUCAUGGUUGAGAACUGGAGCCGAAGAUAAAACCGAACCACAG